Molecule: non-coding RNA, 715 nt
Organism: Pelobates cultripes (western spadefoot toad)
Lineage: Eukaryota; Metazoa; Chordata; Amphibia; Anura; Pelobatidae
Source: the annotation of a GenBank genome assembly
GUCUGCUCUUGGCACUAUAAGUUCAUUGAAAUUAAGUUAUUAUGGUGCUAUGAGGUACUAUGCGCUGGCCUACCUUUAGGGAUUAAAACCAUUCGUGAAUGGUUUAACCAGAAAGUCCAGUACCUAACCAUUCUACCCAUUGUCCUUCCGCUGCUCACAAUUAUUGAAGGAGAUUGCCUUGGACAGGGGCACCGCUAAAUGGCUGAGAGCAUCAACUAAGGUUUUCACCCAAUUGGUAGCUCCUUGUUCACUAAACGACUUCAGAAAAUACCCAUAUUUUUAAUAACCUAUUUUGUGAAUGGGGAAAUACUGAUUGGAUUAUAGCGUCUGCUGACAUUAACAGCCUAUCACUGGCACCCUGUCCAAGGCAAUCUCUUUCAAGAAACCGAGCAGUGGGUGCUGGAUACUGGACUGUGGGAAUAUACCAUUUGUGAACAGCAUAACCCCUAAAGGUAAACUGGCACCAGAGACCACUUGGUACCAUAACAACUUAAUUUCAAUUGCAUUCUUAUGGCGCCUGAGUGUUCCUUUCCACAUACUAUCUAUAUAAAACAGUUCCAUCUCUUUGAUCACUCUGCUCCUACAUGUCCCCAGCAACUUCCAUGAUUAGACUUGGUUAAAAUCAUCAACAAUUUCCUAGAAAUUCUGUUGCCACAAUGUUUUUUUUUUGUGGUUCUUUAAUAUAGCAUGAUAGCACCAUUAGAGCUUGAGCACA